RNAcentral lists this long non-coding RNA (1353 nucleotides) under Bos grunniens (domestic yak). Its description in RNAcentral is "lncRNA (ENSBGRG00000011863.1)". Lineage: Eukaryota; Metazoa; Chordata; Mammalia; Artiodactyla; Bovidae. The record is from RNAcentral.
CUCAGCCUGCACCCCAGCUCCGUAACCGCAGGUGUCGUGGUGCCAGGGAGGUUGAGCAAACGGGACAUUCUUGACCCCGACGGCAGUUAUACACGUCAGCACUCUGAACUGAGGGCCACGGAUGGGCUCGCCGGCCUCGAGCGCUCACCAUCCACAGACCUACACGAACGGCAGAGUCUUCGGGAAUAUUCCCGCGGCCGAGCUCAAGCUUUUGUCUGCCGCACGGCACUAGUGGAGAUGCUCGGUAUGAAAGAAACAGCUCUGGAAAUCGGCCACCGGUCCAGGUAAGCCCCGGCCAGGCCCAGCGACCGGCAGCAAGCCCAGUCUGCACGGUGAAGAAGUCCUGCUACCGCAGGACACAGGCAGCUUCCCGGGGGGGCCGCCUCCUUUGUGCAGGGAUGUGAGUAAUAUGUUCAGUUGCUUCAUUCAAGUGCUCUGGAGUAAAUCUGCUCUUGAAUUCCUCCGACUACAAACUGUCCAAGUUAGAAAACCAACACACGACCUAAAGCGCAGGCCCGCAGUCAGCAGCCAGGCUCCGGGGGGUGACUGGGCACCAGGACCCGCACCAGCCCUCCGGCCUGGCCCUCAGUCCGGACGCUGCCCACAGGCCGUGGCCCCCAACGGCUCCCUGAGCAGCACGGCUUUGCCCUUUUGGAGGAGGAGGCUUUGUCGAAGGCUCUGAGCAUGGCCAGGGCAGAGGCAGCCUCUGGUCCUGGGGAGACAUUGCCUGAAGGAUGCACGGGUCACGUGACCACACGUGGCUGCCCCACCAGACGGGGGACACACGAGUUCCGAGAGAUUCCGAGAGACCACUUGCCCACACGCCCUGCCCGUGGUGUCUUCUGCUGUCGCCCCAUGCAGCCGGUGAAGUCGUGGAUUCCUCCUGGACGGAGAGCCAGGCAGCAGCCACUCUGGGCCUGGCAGGCACACCUCUGUGCUCACCUGAGACGACAGCAAGCCAUGUCACUCCUUCCGUCGAGGGGAAGUCAGCUGGACACCGCACAUCCUCCCUGCAGAGGCGGACACUUCCCAGGCAGCGGGCAGGCAGGCGGCCGUGCACCCUCAGCCCCAGGGCCACAGCCGGAGGCGGGCCACAGGGAACCCCUCAACCGGCAGCAACAGAGUUUCUUUCACGGUCCCGGAGGUUCCGCGUGGCUGGCCGGCGGCACCGGCUCUGGGGGCCCUCGCAGCGGUCUCGGGGGUGACCCUGCGUCGCCGGAAGCAGAGCUGGGAAUUGGCCGGAAGCAUCAGGUGAAUGGCUCCUCACUCGAGUCUAGAAAGCAAACGUGCAGAGUCAGUGCAAAAGUAAAAAGCAUUUACUUUUCUGAACGAGACAGUCUUUUAUGUACGUGA